UACGAAGGGGGCUAGCGUUGUUCGGAAUUACUGGGCGUAAAGGGCUCGUAGGCGGCCAACUAAGUCAGACGUGAAAUCCCCAGGCUCAACCUGGGAACUGCGUCUGAUACUGGAUGGCUUGAAUUCGGGAGAGGGAUGCAGAAUUCCAGGUGUAGCGGUGAAAUGCGUAGAUAUCUGGAGGAAUACCGGUGGCGAAGGCGGCAUCCUGGACCGACAUUGACGCUGAUGAGCGAAAGCUAGGGGAGCAAACGGG
RNAcentral lists this ribosomal RNA (253 nucleotides) under uncultured bacterium. RNAcentral's name for it is "partial 16S ribosomal RNA". It matches the Rfam family "Bacterial small subunit ribosomal RNA", at positions 524 to 776 of the family's 1533-position model. The record is from RNAcentral.